Molecule: transfer RNA, 76 nt
Filed under: Veillonella sp.
Lineage: Bacteria; Bacillati; Bacillota; Negativicutes; Veillonellales; Veillonellaceae
Description: tRNA-Asp
Rfam family: tRNA
About the family: Transfer RNA (tRNA) molecules are approximately 80 nucleotides in length. Their secondary structure includes four short double-helical elements and three loops (D, anti-codon, and T loops). Further hydrogen bonds mediate the characteristic L-shaped molecular structure. tRNAs have two regions of fundamental functional importance: the anti-codon, which is responsible for specific mRNA codon recognition, and the 3' end, to which the tRNAs corresponding amino acid is attached (by aminoacyl-tRNA synthetases). tRNAs cope with the degeneracy of the genetic code in two manners: having more than one tRNA (with a specific anti-codon) for a particular amino acid; and 'wobble' base-pairing, i.e. permitting non-standard base-pairing at the 3rd anti-codon position.
Source: RNAcentral
GGCCCCGUGGUGUAGCGGUUAACAUGUCGCCCUGUCACGGCGUAGAUCGUCAGUUCAACUCUGAUCGGGGUCGCCA